Molecule: ribosomal RNA, 492 nt
Filed under: uncultured bacterium
Lineage: Bacteria
Description: partial 16S ribosomal RNA
Rfam family: Bacterial small subunit ribosomal RNA
Source: RNAcentral
AGUGAACGCUGGCGGUAGGCCUAACACAUGCAAGUCGAACGGCAGCACAGUAAGAGCUUGCUCUUACGGGUGGCGAGUGGCGGACGGGUGAGGAAUACAUCGGAAUCUACUUUUUCGUGGGGGAUAACGUAGGGAAACUUACGCUACUACCUCAUACGACCUACGGGUGAAAUCAGGGGAUCUUCGGACCUUGCGCGAUUGAAUGAGCCGAUGUCGGAUUAGCUAGUUGGCGGGGUAAAGGCCCACCAAGGCGACGAUCCGUAGCUGGUCUGAGAGGAUGAUCAGCCACACUGGAACUGAGACACGGUCCAGACUCCUACGGGAGGCAGCAGUGGGGAAUAUUGGACAAUGGGCGCAAGCCUGAUCCAGCCAUACCGCGUGGGUGAAGAAGGCCUUCGGGUUGUAAAGCCCUUUUGUUGGGAAAGAAAAGCAGCAGGUUAAUACCCCGCUGUUCUGACGGUACCCAAAGAAUAAGCAACGGCUAACUUCGUG